RNAcentral lists this ribosomal RNA (253 nucleotides) under uncultured bacterium. Its description in RNAcentral is "partial 16S ribosomal RNA". It matches the Rfam family "Bacterial small subunit ribosomal RNA", at positions 524 to 776 of the family's 1533-position model. The record is from RNAcentral.
UACGUAGGUGGCAAGCGUUGUCCGGAAUUAUUGGGCGUAAAGCGCGCGCAGGCGGUCCUUUAAGUCUGAUGUGAAAUCUUGCGGCUCAACCGCAAGCGGUCAUUGGAAACUGGGGGACUUGAGUACAGAAGAGGAAAGUGGAAUUCCACGUGUAGCGGUGAAAUGCGUAGAGAUGUGGAGGAACACCAGUGGCGAAGGCGACUUUCUGGUCUGUAACUGACGCUGAGGCGCGAAAGCGUGGGGAGCAAACAGG